Molecule: ribosomal RNA, 438 nt
Filed under: uncultured bacterium
Lineage: Bacteria
Description: partial 16S ribosomal RNA
Rfam family: Bacterial small subunit ribosomal RNA
Source: RNAcentral
CUACGGGAGGCUGCAGUGAGGAAUAUUGCACAAUGGGGGGAACCCUGAUGCAGCAACGCCGCGUGGAGGAUGACGCAUUUCGGUGUGUAAACUCCUUUUAUAUGUCAAGAAAAUGACGGUAGCAUAUGAAUAAGCACCGGCUAACUCCGUGCCAGCAGCCGCGGUAAUACGGAGGGUGCAAGCGUUACUCGGAAUCACUGGGCGUAAAGGACGCGUAGGCGGGUUGAAAAGUCAGGUGUGAAAGCCUACAGCUUAACUGUAGAACUGCACUUGAAACUCUCAAUCUAGAGUAUGGGAGGGGCAGAUGGAAUUAGUGGUGUAGGGGUAAAAUCCGUAGAUAUCACUAGGAAUACCUAAAGCGAAGGCGAUCUGCUGGAACAUUACUGACGCUAAGGCGUGAAAGCGUGGGGAGCAAACAGGAUUAGAUACCCAGUAGUC